Molecule: ribosomal RNA, 484 nt
Filed under: uncultured bacterium
Lineage: Bacteria
Description: partial 16S ribosomal RNA
Rfam family: Bacterial small subunit ribosomal RNA
Source: RNAcentral
GAUGAACGCUGGCGGCGUGCUUAACACAUGCAAGUCGAACGGUGAAGCAGGAGCUUGCUCUUGUGGAUCAGUGGCGAACGGGUGAGUAACACGUGAGCAACCUGCCCCUGACUCUGGGAUAAGCGCUGGAAACGGCGUCUAAUAUUGGAUAUGUGAUGUGACCGCAUGGUCUGCAUCUGGAAAGAAUUUCGGUUGGGGAUGGGCUCGCGGCCUAUCAGCUUGUUGGUGAGGUAAUGGCUCACCAAGGCGUCGACGGGUAGCCGGCCUGAGAGGGUGACCGGCCACACUGGGACUGAGACACGGCCCAGACUCCUACGGGAGGCAGCAGUGGGGAAUAUUGCACAAUGGGCGGAAGCCUGAUGCAGCAACGCCGCGUGAGGGAUGACGGCCUUCGGGUUGUAAACCUCUUUUAGCAGGGAAGAAGCGAAAGUGACGGUACCUGCAGAAAAAGCACUGGCUAACUACGUGCCAGCAGCCGCAGUAA